CAAGUCUACUUGAAUUUGGGUUUUUAACUUCGAUUUGGGUGGCGGACGGGUGAGUAACGCGUAAAGAACUUGCCUCACAGCUAGGGACAACAUUUGGAAACGAAUGCUAAUACCCGAUAUUAUGAUUAUAGGGCAUCCUAGAAUUAUGAAAGCUAUAUGCGCUGUGAGAGAGCUUUGCGUCCCAUUAGCUAGUUGGAGAGGUAACGGCUCACCAAGGCGAUGAUGGGUAGCCGGCCUGAGAGGGUGAACGGCCACAAGGGGACUGAGACACGGCCCUUACUCCUACGGGAGGCAGCAGUGGGGAAUAUUGGACAAUGGACCGAGAGUCUGAUCCAGCAAUUCUGUGUGCACGAUGACGUUUUUCGGAAUGUAAAGUGCUUUCAGUUGGGAAGAAAAAAAUGACGGUACCAACAGAAGAAGUGACGGCUAAAUACGUGCCAGCAGCCGCGGUAAUACGUAUGUCACGAGCGUUAUCCGGAUUUAUUGGGCGUAAAGCGCGUCUAGGUGGUUAUGUAAGUCUGAUGUGAAAAUGCAGGGCUCAACUCUGUAUUGCGUUGGAAACUGUGUAACUAGAGUACUGGAGAGGUAAGCGGAACUACAAGUGUAGAGGUGAAAUUCGUAGAUAUUUGUAGGAAUGCCGAUGGGGAAGCCAGCUUACUGGACAGAUACUGACGCUGAAGCGCGAAAGCGUGGGUAGCAAACAGGAUUAGAUACCCUGGUAGUCCACGCCGUAAACGAUGAUUACUAGGUGUUGGGGGGUCGAACCUCAGCGCCCAAGCAAACG
RNAcentral lists this ribosomal RNA (784 nucleotides) under uncultured Fusobacteriota bacterium. RNAcentral describes it as "bacterial SSU rRNA". It matches the Rfam family "Bacterial small subunit ribosomal RNA", at positions 58 to 857 of the family's 1533-position model. The record is from RNAcentral. Lineage: Bacteria; Fusobacteriati; Fusobacteriota.